Molecule: small RNA, 26 nt
Filed under: Bombyx mori (domestic silkworm)
Lineage: Eukaryota; Metazoa; Arthropoda; Insecta; Lepidoptera; Bombycidae
Description: ovarian small RNA-22583
Source: RNAcentral
UAGCUUCGAGUUGCGUCCGAACCGUA